UACGUAGGGUGCGAGCGUUGUCCGGAAUUAUUGGGCGUAAAGAGCUCGUAGGCGGUGUGUCACGUCGUUCGUGAAAACCUGCAGCUUAACUGUGGGCGUGCGGUCGAUACGGGCAUCACUGGAGUUCGGCAGGGGAGACUGGAAUUCCUGGUGGAGCGGUGAAAUGCGCAGAUAUCAGGAGGAACACCCGUAGCGAAGGCGGCACUCUGGGCCGAUACUGACACUGAGGAGCGAAAGCGUGGGGAGCGAACAGG
This 254-nucleotide ribosomal RNA is filed under the name uncultured bacterium. RNAcentral describes it as "partial 16S ribosomal RNA". It matches the Rfam family "Bacterial small subunit ribosomal RNA", at positions 524 to 776 of the family's 1533-position model. The record is from RNAcentral.